RNAcentral lists this transfer RNA (844 nucleotides) under uncultured Synechococcus sp. Its description in RNAcentral is "partial contains 16S ribosomal RNA, 16S-23S ribosomal RNA intergenic spacer, and 23S ribosomal RNA". The stretch from base 284 to 356 matches the Rfam family "tRNA". The record is from RNAcentral. Lineage: Bacteria; Bacillati; Cyanobacteriota; Cyanophyceae; Synechococcales; Synechococcaceae.
UUGGAUCACCUCCUAACAGGGAGACAAACAACGAUUUUGGUGUCUGAGUUAUUUAUUCUUAGGCCAAAAUCCUGUCGCUUAGGUCGAUCGGUACCUCAACUUUUGAAGCUAAGAGAGUUCCAGCAAUGGUUAUCUGCUUAGUGGAGAUUUUUAGUUCCUAAACUUUGUCUAGUUCACAACCCAUUUGGGAUGAGACUCCUGGGCCAUUAGCUCAGGUGGUUAGAGCGCACCCCUGGUAAGGGUGAGGUCCCUGGUUCAAGUCCAGGAUGGCCCAUUCGGUGUAGGGGGUUUAGCUCAGUUGGUAGAGCGCCUGCUUUGCAAGCAGGAUGUCAGGAGUUCGAGUCUCCUAACCUCCACUGACUACCAAAAUCCCCAUCUCCAAAACCUGGAGUAUGAACUCGUAUGGAUUGUGAUUUAGAUUUGUCCGCUAGAUGACCCUAGCUUCUUGUCAUUUUAAGGCAUGGAAAUAAUUCCAUGAUUUGAUUGAUAGGAUGCUGGGCUCGAUGCAAUGUAUUGAGAGAUCAAUGCAUUGUUUUGAUGUCUAGCCGAACCUUGACAACUGCAUAGUUUAAGUCUGGAAAGAAUAAAGCAUCUUUAUAGAUGCAUCAUUUUUUCGUGUUAACGCAUGAAGGAGUGAUGUUAAUUCUAAAGCAAGAGCCGAGACUCCAGUAUGUUCUUUCAAAUGUGUCGAGCAUUUGAGAGUUUGAUUUUAAUUUCUAAUUUUAGAUUCUAAUUUUAGAAAUUAGAAGAAUCUGUUUCAACAACAGCAAGCGUGCUGGAGAUACAUUGGUCAAGCUACAAAGGGCUCACGGCGGAUACCUUGGCACACAGAGGCGAUGAAGGA